This 490-nucleotide ribosomal RNA is filed under the name uncultured bacterium. RNAcentral's name for it is "partial 16S ribosomal RNA". It matches the Rfam family "Bacterial small subunit ribosomal RNA", at positions 28 to 507 of the family's 1533-position model. The record is from RNAcentral.
GAUGAACGCUAGCUACAGGCUUAACACAUGCAAGUCGCGGGGCAGCAUGGGGGUUGCUUGCAAUCCCCGAUGGCGACCGGCGCACGGGUGAGUAACGCGUAUCCAACCUGCCCUUCACCACGGGAUAACCCGGCGAAAGUCGGACUAAUACCGUAUGUUGUCCAUUGACGGCAUCCGAUUUGGACGAAAGGUUUGGCGGUGAAGGAGGGGGAUGCGUCCGAUUAGCUGGACGGCGGGGUGACGGCCCACCGUGGCGACGGUCGGUAGGGGUUCUGAGAGGAAGGUCCCCCACACUGGAACUGAGACACGGUCCAGACUCCUACGGGAGGCAGCAGUGAGGAAUAUUGGUCAAUGGGCGUAAGCCUGAACCAGCCAAGUAGCGUGCAGGAUGACGGCCCUAUGGGUUGUAAACUGCUUUUAUGCGGGGAUAAAGUGGCCCACGUGUGGGUUUUUGCAGGUACCGCAUGAAUAAGGACCGGCUAAUUCCGUG